RNAcentral lists this transfer RNA (76 nucleotides) under Oscillospiraceae bacterium. Its description in RNAcentral is "tRNA-Phe". It matches the Rfam family "tRNA". Rfam says of the family: Transfer RNA (tRNA) molecules are approximately 80 nucleotides in length. Their secondary structure includes four short double-helical elements and three loops (D, anti-codon, and T loops). The record is from RNAcentral. Lineage: Bacteria; Bacillati; Bacillota; Clostridia; Eubacteriales; Oscillospiraceae.
GCCUCUGUAGCUCAGUCGGUAGAGCAGAGGACUGAAAAUCCUAGUGUCAGUGGGUCGAUUCCACUUCAAGCCACCA